RNAcentral lists this unclassified non-coding RNA (387 nucleotides) under soil metagenome. RNAcentral describes it as "partial contains 5.8S ribosomal RNA, internal transcribed spacer 2, and large subunit ribosomal RNA". The stretch from base 1 to 120 matches the Rfam family "5.8S ribosomal RNA", at positions 35 to 154 of the family's 154-position model. The record is from RNAcentral.
GAUGAAGAACGCAGCGAAAUGCGAUAAGUAAUGUGAAUUGCAGAAUUCAGUGAAUCAUCGAAUCUUUGAACGCACCUUGCACCCUUUGGCAUUCCGAAGGGUAUGCUCGUUUGAGUGUCAUUGUACUCUCACACUCUCCGAUCCUAUGGAUUCGGGGAGCGGUGGACUUGGGUGUUGCUGCCUUUCCUUGUGGCUCACCUCAAAUGUGUCAGUGCCCCUCUUGGUUGGACAUAGUACGGCGUGAUAAGUGUCUUCGCCGGCACCUCGCAAGAGGGUGGCCGAUCGGGAGCUCUGUGCUUUCAAACCGUCUUCGGACAAUUUCUGACAACUUGACCUCAAAUCGAGUAGGACUACCCGCUGAACUUAAGCAUAUCAAUAAGCGGAGGA